RNAcentral lists this ribosomal RNA (405 nucleotides) under uncultured bacterium. RNAcentral describes it as "bacterial SSU rRNA". It matches the Rfam family "Bacterial small subunit ribosomal RNA", at positions 355 to 774 of the family's 1533-position model. The record is from RNAcentral.
UAGGGAAUAUUGCACAAUGGGCGAAAGCCUGAUGCAGCGACGCCGCGUGAGCGAAGAAGUUCUUCGGAACGUAAAGCUCUGUCCUUGGGGACGAAAAAAAUGACGGUACCGAAAUAAGAAGCCCCGGCUAACUACGUGCCAGCAGCCGCGGUAAUACGUAGGGGGCAAGCGUUGUUCGGAAUUACUGGGCGUAAAGCGCACGCAGGCGGCGUGACGCGUCAGAAGUGAAAUCCCCGGGCUCAACCUGGGAACUGCUUUUGAAACGGUCAUGCUUGAAUCAUGGAGAGGGUAGCGGAAUUCCGAGUGUAGAGGUGAAAUUCGUAGAUAUUCGGAAGAACACCGGUGGCGAAGGCGGCUUACUGGACUGUAACUGACGUUGAGGCUCGAAAGCGUGGGGAGCAAACA